This 253-nucleotide ribosomal RNA is filed under the name uncultured bacterium. Its description in RNAcentral is "partial 16S ribosomal RNA". It matches the Rfam family "Bacterial small subunit ribosomal RNA", at positions 524 to 776 of the family's 1533-position model. The record is from RNAcentral.
UACGUAGGGUGCGAGCGUUGUCCGGAAUUACUGGGCGUAAAGGGCUCGUAGGCGGCCAACUAAGUCAUACGUGAAAUCCCUCGGCUUAACCGGGGAACUGCGUCUGAUACUGGAUGGCUUGAGUUCGGGAGAGGGAUGCGGAAUUCCAGGUGUAGCGGUGAAAUUCGUAGAUAUCGAGAGGAACACCGGUGGCGAAGGCGGCCAACUGGACGAAUACUGACGCUGAGACACGAAAGCGUGGGGAGCAAACAGG